This 348-nucleotide ribosomal RNA is filed under the name Magdalenasaura leurosquama. RNAcentral describes it as "partial small subunit ribosomal RNA". It matches the Rfam family "Microsporidia small subunit ribosomal RNA", at positions 756 to 1198 of the family's 1311-position model. The record is from RNAcentral. Lineage: Eukaryota; Metazoa; Chordata; Lepidosauria; Squamata; Gymnophthalmidae.
AUUACGGGUGAAAACCUAAAACUCAAAAGACUUGACGGUGUUCUAACCUACCUAGAGGAGCCUGUUCCAUAAUCGACAACCCACGAUAUACCUAACCGCCCUUAGAAAAAUUCAGCCUAUAUACCGCCGUCGCCAGCUUACCUUUUAAAAGUAUAUCAGUAAGCUAAAAAGUAUUUUACUAAAAAGUCAGGUCAAGGUGUAGCACAUAGGUAGGAGGAAAUGGGCUACAUUAUUUAAUCUAAAUUAUUAACGAAUUUCUAAAUGAAAACAUAAUGAAGGUGGAUUUAGCAGUAAUUUAAACAAGAAUAUUUAAAUUAAACAAGCCCUAGAACAUGUACACACCGCCCG